Molecule: long non-coding RNA, 460 nt
Organism: Centrocercus urophasianus (Greater sage-grouse)
Lineage: Eukaryota; Metazoa; Chordata; Aves; Galliformes; Phasianidae
Exons: 3
Source: RefSeq, a predicted model, not a curated record
UGUGUGGAGCCAGCAGUUGGGCUCAAGAUCCUUUCCUCAAUGAUUCUUAUGAGGAGCAGCUGAAGGAACUGGGAUUGUUUAGUCUGUAGGAGGCUCAGGGUAGACCUUACUGCACUCUACAACUACCUGAAAGGGGACUGGAGUGAGCUUUAAUGGUUCUGUGACCCUUGUGGGUCCCUUCCAACUCAGGAUAUUCUGAUUCCAUCCAUGAUCUGAUGGGAGCUGGCAGGGCAGAGAAAGAUCAUCAAAUGGGAGAAAUCCAUGCAGUUGAUUUAUUAACGCCGAGACAGAAAGAGCCUGAAAGAUCGCGGUGCCGAGGAGCGGUGACGGCACUGACUGCGGUCAGAGCUUGGGGACACGCUUCCCACCGCAUGCCACCAACGUCCUUUCACACGGAACCAGCCAACGCCGUUCUCGGGGAAGGGAAAAACAAUCACGGCGUGCCCUCACCGCCGCGGAC